GAUGAACGCUGGCGGCGUGCCUAAUACAUGCAAGUCGAGCGAACAGAUAAGGAGCUUGCUCCUUUGACGUUAGCGGCGGACGGGUGAGUAACACGUGGAUAACCUACCUAUAAGACUGUGAUAACUUCGGGAAACCGGAGCUAAUACCGGAUAACAUAUUGAACCGCAUGGUUCGAUAGCGAAAGGCGGCUUUGCUGUCACUUAUAGAUGGAUCCGCGCCGUAUUAGCUAGUUGGUAAGGUAACGGCUUACCAAGGCAACGAUACGUAGCCGACCUGAGAGGGUGAUCGGCCACACUGGAACUGAGACACGGUCCAGACUCCCACGGGAGGCAGCAGUAGGGAAUCUUCCGCAAUGGGCGAAAGCCUGACGGAGCAACGCCGCGUGAGUGAUGAAGGUCUUCGGAUCGUAAAACUCUGUUAUCAGGGAAGAACAAAUGUGUAAGUAACUGUGCACAUCUUGACGGUACCUGAUCAGAAAGCCACGGCUAACUACGUGCCAGCCGCCGCUGUAA
RNAcentral lists this ribosomal RNA (513 nucleotides) under uncultured bacterium. Its description in RNAcentral is "partial 16S ribosomal RNA". It matches the Rfam family "Bacterial small subunit ribosomal RNA", at positions 28 to 523 of the family's 1533-position model. The record is from RNAcentral.